GAUGAACGCUGGCGGCGUGCCUAAUACAUGCAAGUCGAGCGAACGGACGAGAAGCUUGCUUCUCUGAUGUUAGCGGCGGACGGGUGAGUAACACGUGGAUAACCUACCUAUAAGACUGGGAUAACUUCGGGAAACCGGAGCUAUUACCGGAUAAUAUUUUGAACCGCAUGGUUCAAAAGUGAAAGACGGUCUUGCUGUCACUUAUAGAUGGAUCCGCGCUGCAUUAGCUAGUUGGUAAGGUAACGGCUUACCAAGGCAACGAUGCAUAGCCGACCUGAGAGGGUGAUCGGCCACACUGGAACUGAGACACGGUCCAGACUCCUACGGGAGGCAGCAGUAGGGAAUCUUCCGCAAUGGGCGAAAGCCUGCCGGAGCAACGCCGCGUGAGUGAUGAAGGUCUUCGGAUCGUAAAACUCUGUUAUUAGGGAAGAACAUAUGUGUAAGUAACUGUGCACAUCUUGACGGUACCUAAUCAGAAAGCCACGGCUAACUACGUG
RNAcentral lists this ribosomal RNA (497 nucleotides) under uncultured bacterium. Its description in RNAcentral is "partial 16S ribosomal RNA". It matches the Rfam family "Bacterial small subunit ribosomal RNA", at positions 28 to 507 of the family's 1533-position model. The record is from RNAcentral.